RNAcentral lists this ribosomal RNA (503 nucleotides) under Hoplosternus incanus. RNAcentral describes it as "partial 16S ribosomal RNA". It matches the Rfam family "Bacterial large subunit ribosomal RNA", at positions 1834 to 2595 of the family's 2925-position model. Lineage: Eukaryota; Metazoa; Arthropoda; Insecta; Coleoptera; Scarabaeidae. The record is from RNAcentral.
UUUGAUUAUAAUUUAAAGUCUGACCUGCCCAAUGAGGAGUUAAAUGGCCGCGGUAAUUUGACCGUGCAAAGGUAGCAUAAUCAUUAGUUUUUUAAUUGAAAGCUGGAAUGAAUGGUUGGACGAGGGGACAACUGUCUCAAUUUAAUUGUAAUAGAAUUUUAAUUUUAAGUCAAAAUGCUUAAAUAGAUUUAAAAGACGAGAAGACCCUAUAGAGUUUUAUAUAAUAUUGUAUAUUUAAGGAUAGGGAUAUAGAGGAUUAUGUAUACAGUUUUAUAUUUUGUUGGGGCGAUAGAAAAAUUAAAGAAACUUUUUUUAUAUUGAUUCAUUAAUGUAUGAGUAAAUGAUCCGUUAUUUACGAUUAUAAGAUUAAAUUACCUUAGGGAUAACAGCGUUAUUUUUUUUGAGAGUUCAAAUCGAAAAAAAAGUUUGCGACCUCGAUGUUGGAUUAAAAUUUAUUUUUGGUGUAGGGGCUAAAAUAUUAGGUCUGUUCGACCUUUGAAAUU